Molecule: ribosomal RNA, 253 nt
Filed under: uncultured bacterium
Lineage: Bacteria
Description: partial 16S ribosomal RNA
Rfam family: Bacterial small subunit ribosomal RNA
Source: RNAcentral
UACGUAGGGUGCAAGCGUUGCCCGGAUUUAUUGGGCGUAAAGGGCGCGUAGGCGGCUCGGCACGUCCGUUGUGAAAUCGCCCGGCUCAACUGGGCGGGGUCAGCGGAUACGGCCGAGCUUGAGCAAGCUAGGGGGCAAUGGAAUUCCCGGUGUAGUGGUGGAAUGCGUAGAUAUCGGGAGGAACACCAGUGGCGAAGGCGGCGUCCUGGACCAACACUGACACUGAGGAGCGAAAGCCAGGGGAGCAAACGGG